Molecule: ribosomal RNA, 240 nt
Filed under: uncultured bacterium
Lineage: Bacteria
Description: partial 16S ribosomal RNA
Rfam family: Bacterial small subunit ribosomal RNA
Source: RNAcentral
GACCCUGGCUCAGGAUGAACGCUAGCUACAGGCUUAACACAUGCAAGUCGAGGGGAAACGACAUCGAAAGCUUGCUUUUGAUGGGCGUCGACCGGCGCACGGGUGAGUAACGCGUAUCCAACCUGCCCACCACUUGGGGAUAACCUUGCGAAAGUAAGACUAAUACCCAAUGAUAUCUCUAGAAGACAUCUGAAAGAGAUUAAAGAUUCAUCGGUGAUGGAUGGGGAUGCGUCUGAUUAG